GAUGCAACGUGUCUUGCCUGUGAGGUACCCCGACUCGACGUCAAACUCGCCGUUGGAGUGUGCGUCUCGAUGCAGGUCCUACAGAUUUGCAGGCGUUGAGAACAGCAACGAGUGUUUCUGUGGAAACGUGCAGCCAGUUGUGAGUAAGCCCGAGUCUGAAUGUAAUGCUGUGUGCCCCGGGGAAAGCACAAAGAAAUGCGGAGGAGUCUGGAGGGUCAGUGUCUAUAGCAACAGGGCUCCCAUGUACCGCGGAUGCUACGUGGAUACGAUACCCCGUGUCUUGCCUACUCAAAAGACUCCCAACUCGCCCACAAACACGCCUUUGGAAUGUGCCUCUCGCUGCAUUGGUUUCGCUUUUAGCGGCGUUGAGGCCAGCGGUGAGUGUUUCUGCGGCACAGUACUACCCACAGUGCUAAAGCCUGACUCCGAAUGUAACUAUGCGUGUCCUGGGAACAGCGCAUUGAAAUGUGGCGGGUGGUUGAGAAUCAGCGUCUAUAGCAAUUAGGAGUGCCGAACAACGUUGCAUGAUACAAACAGCCCGAAAAAAACUCUGCGCUUUCUGAAAAUGGAUGCUGGCUUUUGUUUAUAAAUUAAAGAAUAUUUCUCAUUAUCCUUUUCAACUUCCUGAUUACAGAGAUAAUUGUUGCAGUCUAUUUUAUUAAGACACUUCAACCAUGUUGUUUAGAAUGAUUUAAAGGUUUACUUGGUAAUUACAUGUUGUCUUUGUCACAGUAACAUGUGUUUAAAACCAGUUGUGCAAUAAAUGAAUAUUACUAGAAAAUGCUAAAAAGACUAAUACUUCAGGAAAUAAAUCUUUGCUUAUGUAUACUUUCAAUAAAAGCAUUCUUCUGCACAGAAA
Dreissena polymorpha is the source of this 859-nucleotide long non-coding RNA. RefSeq lists it as uncharacterized. The record is from RefSeq and is a predicted model, not a curated record. The transcript has 5 exons. NCBI's taxonomy places the organism in Eukaryota, Metazoa, Mollusca, Bivalvia, Myida, Dreissenidae.